Molecule: ribosomal RNA, 849 nt
Filed under: uncultured bacterium
Lineage: Bacteria
Description: bacterial SSU rRNA
Rfam family: Bacterial small subunit ribosomal RNA
Source: RNAcentral
CCCCGGGCUCAACCUGGGAACUGCGUUNUGAACUGGGUGACUAGAGUGUGUCAGAGGGAGGUAGAAUUNCACGUGUAGCAGUGAAAUGCGUAGAGAUGUGGAGGAAUNCCGAUGGCGAAGGCAGCCUCCUGGGAUAACACUGACGUUCAUGCCCGAAAGCGUGGGUAGCAAACAGGAUUAGAUACCCUGGUAGUCCACGCCCUAAACGAUGUCGAUUAGCUGUUGGGCAGCAUGACUGCUUAGUAGCGAAGCUAACGCGUGAAAUCAACCGCCUGGGGAGUACGGUCGCAAGAUUAAAGCUCAAAGGAAUUGACGGGGACCCGCACAAGCGGUGGAUGAUGUGGAUUAAUUCGAUGCAACGCGAAGAACCUUACCUGGUCUUGACAUGUACGGAAUCCUCCAGAGACGGAGGAGUGCCUUCGGGAGCCGUAACACAGGUGCUGCAUGGCUGUCGUCAGCUCGUGUCGUGAGAUGUUGGGUUAAGUCCCGCAACGAGCGCAACCCUUGUCAUUAGUUGCCAUCAUUAAGUUGGGCACUCUAAUGAGACUGCCGGUGACAAGCCGGAGGAAGGUGGGGAUGACGUCAAGUCCUCAUGGCCCUUAUGACCAGGGCUUCACACGUCAUACAAUGGUCGGUACAGAGGGUAGCCAAGCCGCGAGGCGGAGCCAAUCUCACAAAACUGAUCGUAGUCCGGAUUGCACUCUGCAACUCGAGUGCAUGAAGUCGGAAUCGCUAGUAAUCGCAGGUCAGCAUACUGCGGUGAACACGUUCCCGGGUCUUGUACACACCGCCCGUCACACCAUGGGAGUGGGGGAUACCAGAAGUAGGUAGGGUAACCGCAAGGAGCCC